RNAcentral lists this ribosomal RNA (499 nucleotides) under uncultured Glomeromycotina. RNAcentral describes it as "partial small subunit ribosomal RNA". It matches the Rfam family "Eukaryotic small subunit ribosomal RNA", at positions 591 to 1092 of the family's 1831-position model. The record is from RNAcentral. Lineage: Eukaryota; Fungi; Glomeromycota.
CCAAUAGCGUAUAUUAAAGUUGUUGCAGUUAAAAAGCUCGUAGUUGAAUUUCGGGAUCAGAUUGUCGGUCGUGCCUCGGUACGCACUGGCAUUAUUGGUUCCUACCUUCUGAAGAACCGCGAUGUCAUUAAUUUGGUGUCGUGGGGAAUCAGGACUGUUACUUUGAAAAAAUUAGAGUGUUUAAAGCAGGCGCACGCUUGAAUACAUUAGCAUGGAAUAAUGAAAUAGGACGUUUGAUUCUAUUUUGUUGGUUUCUAGGAUCGACGUAAUGAUUAAUAGGGAUAGUUGGGGGCAUUAGUAUUCAAUUGUCAGAGGUGAAAUUCUUGGAUUUAUUGAAGACUAACUACUGCGAAAGCAUUUGCCAAGGAUGUUUUCAUUAAUCAAGAACGAAAGUUAGGGGAUCGAAGACGAUCAGAUACCGUCGUAGUCUUAACCAUAAACUAUGCCGACUAGGGAUCGGAUGAUGUUGAUUUUAUAAUGACUCAUUCGGCGCCUUACG